GUCGAGGUGCGGGUGAGGGUGGGUGUGGUGCGCGGCAAAUGAGGAUUGAAGACGUAUAGCAUCUCAACAAAAGAUAGAAGAUGCCUGUGUUGAGGAAAGGUGACUGUUUUCAUUCCUUUGAUGAGCUAGAUGCCCAUAUCCGUGAAUUGGAGGCCGAGACGAAUGUGAAGUUUUUCAAGUCGAGCUCUGUCACUCUUGGUAAAUUUCUUCAGACAAAUCCUGGGCACUUCAUUUCAAAGUUGGUUGCUGACCGUGCUGACAAGGAGGCGCUUUUGCAGCAGAAAAAGUACCGUCUCGUUAAAUUUUCAUGCACUCAUGGUGGGCGCCAGUACGAAAGCAAAGCUGGUGAUCGUCGUGUCCGAAACACGAGAACCAAAAAAGUCGGCUGUCCCGUAAGCAUCCUAGUGUUUCUGGAAAAAGUCAUUGCGUUUAGAGAUUAGGGACAUCUCACUGGAGCAUUCCCACCCGGUGUCGAAGGCAAGCUUUCUGCUGCAGCCAGAAAAUCGUCGCCUGCCUGCGUCCUAAAGGCAGCGUCACCACAGUCGUGGGAUCAGCAAAGAAAUAAGAGUACUGAACAGCAACGGUGGAUGGUGGGAGCGCUGGAUUACACCGUCCACGUACUCGGCUUUAAACCCGCCAUCAUCAUGCACCGCGUGGUCACGGUGUUCCACGAAUUUGACAUAACUUCGUUCAUCGGAAACGCCUGGACUUCCCGGAUACCUGUAGAGCUCUUAGGCUUCUUCUAUUGUAGAGAACAGGCUCGAUAUCUAUAUUCGUUUGCAUGUCAUGAUGUGAAUAGCUAGUUUGCCAAGAUACAUCUUCAUGUACAUAUAUGAGUAUUGCAAGCCCAUCCAGAGACUUUGAAAGGCUGAAAGCGUUUCCGACUAUCUGUGUUGAUUGUUUCCAAACUGGAUAAGCUUUGUUAAAUAGCACCACUCACCAAGUAAUGGUUGCUUACGUCCAACCUCCUGCGUCCCUGGAUGUCCUUGCACUAUCUCCUCACUAGUCGAGAUGAACGUUGAGCGAGCUUAGAUCUGUCGUGUACCUGAACUAAGUAGCUGAAGUGAACUAAGUAGCCUCGUCAAAUGUCUGAUGCGUUCUUCGUCGACAGUUCCACAUAUGCGAGAACUGACUGGGUAAUUGUAUACUUGCCCCAUGCGAGGAAGACGCAUACAAAUGUAUGUACAAUUUUGCUUUGUGCUAGUUUAACCAGUGACCGCUAAGGAGAAUGUGUUUUAAAAAAUACCAACAUGAGAACAUUGCUUUGGCUACUUAUUCAAUGUGUCGGGCCGCUGUUAUAUAAUUGUUUAGUGCGUUCAACAAUUCUCAGCCAUGGUUGUUAUUGGUGUUUUUUGACACUGGUUGUGCUCGCACGCUUUGAAUCUAGUCAAGAAGAACGUUGAUGAUUGUGCGUAGUGGUGGGUUUCCAUGCAUCUCAGCACUCAGGGUGUGCCUUUGUUAGUGUACGGGAUUUGUUGGCAUGUGAGAAAGUUUUCCUGACAACACGGCAUGUCUGGCCGCUCCAAUGCGGUAAAAUACCUGCGCUGUUGUGACAUGGUUGCUACUUCUCAUUGCAUGCAUCUGUGAUAAGCUCGUACGGCUGCGUGCCCAGAACUGCAUUUCGCGUACCUUCCAAGGCUGUGGUUAUCCCAGAGAGGUCAUUGACCUCAAUACUUUAAUACAUUUAAA
This 1689-nucleotide long non-coding RNA is filed under the name Pollicipes pollicipes. RNAcentral describes it as "uncharacterized LOC119099715". Lineage: Eukaryota; Metazoa; Arthropoda; Thecostraca; Pollicipedomorpha; Pollicipedidae. The record is from RNAcentral.